RNAcentral lists this ribosomal RNA (245 nucleotides) under uncultured bacterium. RNAcentral describes it as "partial 16S ribosomal RNA". It matches the Rfam family "Bacterial small subunit ribosomal RNA", at positions 524 to 768 of the family's 1533-position model. The record is from RNAcentral.
UACAGAGGUCCCAAGCGUUGUUCGGAUUCACUGGGCGUAAAGGGUGCGUAGGCGGUCGGAUAAGUCCGAUGUGAAAUCUCCAGGCUCAACCUGGAAACUGCAUUGGAAACUAUUCGGCUUGAGGGUUGGAGGGGGGACUGGAAUUCUUGGUGUAGCAGUGAAAUGCGUAGAUAUCAAGAGGAACACCAGUGGCGAAGGCGAGUCCCUGGACAACAUCUGACGCUGAGGCACGAAAGCUAGGGGAG